RNAcentral lists this ribosomal RNA (598 nucleotides) under Salmonella enterica subsp. enterica. RNAcentral describes it as "bacterial LSU rRNA". It matches the Rfam family "Bacterial large subunit ribosomal RNA", at positions 1241 to 1821 of the family's 2925-position model. The record is from RNAcentral. Lineage: Bacteria; Pseudomonadati; Pseudomonadota; Gammaproteobacteria; Enterobacterales; Enterobacteriaceae.
CUGUAAGCCUGUGAAGGUGUGUCGUGAGGCAUGCUGGAGGUAUCAGAAGUGCGAAUGCUGACAUAAGUAACGAUAAAGCGGGUGAAAAGCCCGCUCGCCGGAAGACCAAGGGUUCCUGUCCAACGUUAAUCGGGGCAGGGUGAGUCGACCCCUAAGGCGAGGCCGAAAGGCGUAGUCGAUGGGAAACGGGUUAAUAUUCCCGUACUUGGUGUUACUGCGAAGGGGGGACGGAGAAGGCUAUGUUGGCCGGGCGACGGUUGUCCCGGUUUAAGCGUGUAGGUGUGUGUUCCAGGUAAAUCCGGUUCACUUUAACACUGAGGCGUGACGACGAGGCACUACGGUGCUGAAGCAACAAAUGCCCUGCUUCCAGGAAAAGCCUCUAAGCAUCAGGUAACAUCAAAUCGUACCCCAAACCGACACAGGUGGUCAGGUAGAGAAUACCAAGGCGCUUGAGAGAACUCGGGUGAAGGAACUAGGCAAAAUGGUGCCGUAACUUCGGGAGAAGGCACGCUGACACGUAGGUGAAGUGAUUUACUCAUGGAGCUGAAGUCAGUCGAAGAUACCAGCUGGCUGCAACUGUUUAUUAAAAACACAGCAC